Molecule: ribosomal RNA, 253 nt
Filed under: uncultured bacterium
Lineage: Bacteria
Description: partial 16S ribosomal RNA
Rfam family: Bacterial small subunit ribosomal RNA
Source: RNAcentral
UACAGAGGGGGCAAGCGUUAUUCGGAAUUAUUGGGCGUAAAGGGCGCGUAGGCGGCUUUGCAAGUGGCGGGUGAAAUCCCUCGGCUUAACCGAGGAACUGCCUGCCAGACUGUGAGGCUUGAGACCGGGAGAGGUGAGUGGAAUUCCCAGUGUAGCGGUGAAAUGCGUAGAGAUCAGGAAGAACAUCGGUGGCGAAGGCGCUCUGCUGGACCAUAACUGACACUCAGGGACGAAAGCUAGGGGAGCGAAUGGG